RNAcentral lists this ribosomal RNA (813 nucleotides) under uncultured bacterium. RNAcentral's name for it is "bacterial SSU rRNA". It matches the Rfam family "Bacterial small subunit ribosomal RNA", at positions 8 to 840 of the family's 1533-position model. The record is from RNAcentral.
AGAGUUUGAUCAUGGCUCAGGAUAAACGCUGGCGGCGUGCAUGAGACAUGCAAGUCGAACGGACGAUCAGGGCUUGCCUUGGUCGUUAGUGGCGGACGGCUGAGUAACGCGUAGGUGACCUGCCCCGAAGUGGGGAAUAACUGCCCGAAAGGGUGGCUAAUACCGCAUGUGGUGGUGUGUUCAUUCACACCAGUAAAGCCGCAAGGCGCUUCGGGAGGGGCCUGCGUCCGAUUAGCUCGUUGGUGGGGUAACGGCUCACCAAGGCGACGAUCGGUAGGUGGUCUGAGAGGACGAUCACCCAGACUGGGACUGAGACACGGCCCAGACUCCUACGGGAGGCAGCAGUCGGGAAUUUUGCGCAAUGGACGAAAGUCUGACGCAGCAACGCCGCGUGAGGGAUGACGGCCUUCGGGUUGUAAACCUCUUUUGUCAGGGAAGAUAAUGACGGUACCUGGCGAAUAAGUCACGGCUAACUACGUGCCAGCAGCCGCGGUAAUACGUAGGUGACAAGCGUUGUCCGGAUUUACUGGGCGUAAAGAGCGCGCAGGCGGUCGACCAAGUCGAGUGUGAAAGACCCCGGCUCAACUGGGGAGGGUCAUUCGAUACUGAUCGACUCGAAGGCAGGAGAGGGAAGUGGAAUUCCCGGUGUAGUGGUGAAAUGCGUAGAUAUCGGGAGGAACACCAGUGGCGAAGGCGACUUCCUGGCCUGUUCUUGACGCUGAGGCGCGAAAGCUAGGGGAGCAAACGGGAUUAGAUACCCCGGUAGUCCUAGCCGUAAACGAUGGACACUAGGUGUUGGUGGUAUCAACCCCC